CCACACUUCCUCUCUUUAUUCCUCCCCGGAUGUAAUUUCUCUCACGUCCUCACACAUCUCCAUCCUUGGUUCGUCGCAGUCACAGCCAUCGCCGAUCUCAUCUUGCUUUCCUCUUUUAAUUGAAGAUCUGAACAAAGCAAUGGCUCCCUGUCGUUCAUAGAUCCGAACGAUAUUUAUUUUCUCCCUCACGCAAUCGAGCAAUAAUCCAUAUAUUGGGAAAUCUGAAAAGGUACACAAAAAGGAAACCAGGUGAUACGAGACUAUAAGAUCAAUAUUAUCUUGGUUUAAACAACUCAAAAAAACUGAAGUUUUUUGUAGUUUUCAGUGUAUGAUGUCCAUGUUGGAGACUCAACAAGUAUACUCCACAUAGCACGAAAGGAUUUCUACUCAGCUUUCAAUGGGAUUAGCGCCUUACAAUGCUUUCUAAUAUUUUCGGUAAUGUGCCAUCGACAAAGUAAGUGAGUUGCAUAAGGGAAAACUUGUUGGCAUGCAUUCACCAAUGCCAAUUCUCUGUCCGUCAUUAUAACGCGUGGUUGCAUGCACUUUUCUAGUGUCAACCUUAGACACAUUAACACCCACUUAUAACUUUCCUCCUUUUCAUUAAUGAUAAAGGCAAAAGCAAUGCUAAAUGUCUUGUUGGUUGAAGUUACUCCAACAAUCUCAACAAAAGGCAUAGCAUAUUUGUUUGUUUUGUAUGUUGCAUCAAUAAUCAAAACGUGUGGAAAUGCUUGCCAUAUAUCUAACGAAAGAGGAUGAAUGAAAAACAGGUUUUCCAAUUCA
This is a long non-coding RNA of Lactuca sativa (garden lettuce), 780 nucleotides long. RefSeq lists it as uncharacterized. Lineage: Eukaryota; Viridiplantae; Streptophyta; Magnoliopsida; Asterales; Asteraceae. The record is from RefSeq and is a predicted model, not a curated record.